Molecule: ribosomal RNA, 253 nt
Filed under: uncultured bacterium
Lineage: Bacteria
Description: partial 16S ribosomal RNA
Rfam family: Bacterial small subunit ribosomal RNA
Source: RNAcentral
UACGUAGGGUGCAAGCGUUGUCCGGAAUUAUUGGGCGUAAAGAGCUCGUAGGCGGUUUGUCGCGUCGGCUGUGAAAACCUGGGGCUCAACCCCGGGCCUGCAGCCGAUACGGGCAAACUAGAAUUCGGUAGGGGAGACUGGAAUUCCUGGUGUAGCGGUGAAAUGCGUAGAUAUCAGGAGGAACACCGGUGGUGUAAACGGCUUUCUGGACCAUAACUGACGCUGAGGCACGAAAGCGUGGGUAGCAAACAGG